Papilio xuthus (Asian swallowtail) is the source of this 573-nucleotide long non-coding RNA. RefSeq lists it as uncharacterized. NCBI's taxonomy places the organism in Eukaryota, Metazoa, Arthropoda, Insecta, Lepidoptera, Papilionidae. The transcript is spliced from 2 exons. The record is from RefSeq and is a predicted model, not a curated record.
UUGAAUAGGAAACGUUCAAAAUGAAAGUAAUACUAGCAAGUGUAGUCACGUUGUUAUACGUGGCUUUUACAUUACAACAGUCGCUGUCAGAUUGCACCGGGCCAAAUGAAUCUUUCGUGCAAUGCAAGAGUAAUUGUACCGUCGACACGUGCGAUGCAAUCUCUAAGCCAGUGGUCUGUGAUAAUCUGUUCAAUUGCGCCCCCGGGUGCGUUUGCAAUUUAGGUUUCUUCAGAAAGAACGCAUCUGCAGAUUGCCAACCGUUGAUAAAUUGCUUCUUUUAAGAUAACACAAAACCUGAAUUUUGCAUACAAUGGACGGUCUUCUAAAAAUAAAAAAUGUAUACAUAAAGCAUAAAAUUGUAAUUUGAAACUCUGAAUAUGUUAAAAAGAUUAGUCGUAGUUUUAUUUUCCCAGUAUACUUUAGUUAUAUUAUUUCUACAAGAUUUAUUAUCAUAGAUUAUAAAAUGCCAAAAAAAAAACUACGACACCUGUCAUUCGCCCAUAAAAAUAUAUAAAAAGAAACGCCAUCAAUUCAAAUGAGACAGAAAUAUAAAUAAAAACAACUAUCCUUGUC